RNAcentral lists this ribosomal RNA (2930 nucleotides) under Escherichia coli. Its description in RNAcentral is "bacterial LSU rRNA". It matches the Rfam family "Bacterial large subunit ribosomal RNA". The record is from RNAcentral. Lineage: Bacteria; Pseudomonadati; Pseudomonadota; Gammaproteobacteria; Enterobacterales; Enterobacteriaceae.
GGGUUGUGAGGUUAAGCGACUAAGCGUACACGGUGGAUGCCCUGGCAGUCAGAGGCGAUGAAGGACGUGCUAAUCUGCGAUAAGCGUCGGUAAGGUGAUAUGAACCGUUAUAACCGGCGAUUUCCGAAUGGGGAAACCCAGUGUGUUUCGACACACUAUCAUUAACUGAAUCCAUAGGUUAAUGAGGCGAACCGGGGGAACUGAAACAUCUAAGUACCCCGAGGAAAAGAAAUCAACCGAGAUUCCCCCAGUAGCGGCGAGCGAACGGGGAGCAGCCCAGAGCCUGAAUCAGUGUGUGUGUUAGUGGAAGCGUCUGGAAAGGCGCGCGAUACAGGGUGACAGCCCCGUACACAAAAAUGCACAUGCUGUGAGCUCGAUGAGUAGGGCGGGACACGUGGUAUCCUGUCUGAAUAUGGGGGGACCAUCCUCCAAGGCUAAAUACUCCUGACUGACCGAUAGUGAACCAGUACCGUGAGGGAAAGGCGAAAAGAACCCCGGCGAGGGGAGUGAAAAAGAACCUGAAACCGUGUACGUACAAGCAGUGGGAGCACGCUUAGGCGUGUGACUGCGUACCUUUUGUAUAAUGGGUCAGCGACUUAUAUUCUGUAGCAAGGUUAACCGAAUAGGGGAGCCGAAGGGAAACCGAGUCUUAACUGGGCGUUAAGUUGCAGGGUAUAGACCCGAAACCCGGUGAUCUAGCCAUGGGCAGGUUGAAGGUUGGGUAACACUAACUGGAGGACCGAACCGACUAAUGUUGAAAAAUUAGCGGAUGACUUGUGGCUGGGGGUGAAAGGCCAAUCAAACCGGGAGAUAGCUGGUUCUCCCCGAAAGCUAUUUAGGUAGCGCCUCGUGAAUUCAUCUCCGGGGGUAGAGCACUGUUUCGGCAAGGGGGUCAUCCCGACUUACCAACCCGAUGCAAACUGCGAAUACCGGAGAAUGUUAUCACGGGAGACACACGGCGGGUGCUAACGUCCGUCGUGAAGAGGGAAACAACCCAGACCGCCAGCUAAGGUCCCAAAGUCAUGGUUAAGUGGGAAACGAUGUGGGAAGGCCCAGACAGCCAGGAUGUUGGCUUAGAAGCAGCCAUCAUUUAAAGAAAGCGUAAUAGCUCACUGGUCGAGUCGGCCUGCGCGGAAGAUGUAACGGGGCUAAACCAUGCACCGAAGCUGCGGCAGCGACGCUGAUGCGUUGUUGGGUAGGGGAGCGUUCUGUAAGCCUGCGAAGGUGUGCUGUGAGGCAUGCUGGAGGUAUCAGAAGUGCGAAUGCUGACAUAAGUAACGAUAAAGCGGGUGAAAAGCCCGCUCGCCGGAAGACCAAGGGUUCCUGUCCAACGUUAAUCGGGGCAGGGUGAGUCGACCCCUAAGGCGAGGCCGAAAGGCGUAGUCGAUGGGAAACAGGUUAAUAUUCCUGUACUUGGUGUUACUGCGAAGGGGGGACGGAGAAGGCUAUGUUGGCCGGGCGACGGUUGUCCCGGUUUAAGCGUGUAGGCUGGUUUUCCAGGCAAAUCCGGAAAAUCAAGGCUGAGGCGUGAUGACGAGGCACUACGGUGCUGAAGCAACAAAUGCCCUGCUUCCAGGAAAAGCCUCUAAGCAUCAGGUAACAUCAAAUCGUACCCCAAACCGACACAGGUGGUCAGGUAGAGAAUACCAAGGCGCUUGAGAGAACUCGGGUGAAGGAACUAGGCAAAAUGGUGCCGUAACUUCGGGAGAAGGCACGCUGAUAUGUAGGUGAGGUCCCUCGCGGAUGGAGCUGAAAUCAGUCGAAGAUACCAGCUGGCUGCAACUGUUUAUUAAAAACACAGCACUGUGCAAACACGAAAGUGGACGUAUACGGUGUGACGCCUGCCCGGUGCCGGAAGGUUAAUUGAUGGGGUUAGCGCAAGCGAAGCUCUUGAUCGAAGCCCCGGUAAACGGCGGCCGUAACUAUAACGGUCCUAAGGUAGCGAAAUUCCUUGUCGGGUAAGUUCCGACCUGCACGAAUGGCGUAAUGAUGGCCAGGCUGUCUCCACCCGAGACUCAGUGAAAUUGAACUCGCUGUGAAGAUGCAGUGUACCCGCGGCAAGACGGAAAGACCCCGUGAACCUUUACUAUAGCUUGACACUGAACAUUGAGCCUUGAUGUGUAGGAUAGGUGGGAGGCUUAGAAGUGUGGACGCCAGUCUGCAUGGAGCCGACCUUGAAAUACCACCCUUUAAUGUUUGAUGUUCUAACGUUGACCCGUAAUCCGGGUUGCGGACAGUGUCUGGUGGGUAGUUUGACUGGGGCGGUCUCCUCCUAAAGAGUAACGGAGGAGCACGAAGGUUGGCUAAUCCUGGUCGGACAUCAGGAGGUUAGUGCAAUGGCAUAAGCCAGCUUGACUGCGAGCGUGACGGCGCGAGCAGGUGCGAAAGCAGGUCAUAGUGAUCCGGUGGUUCUGAAUGGAAGGGCCAUCGCUCAACGGAUAAAAGGUACUCCGGGGAUAACAGGCUGAUACCGCCCAAGAGUUCAUAUCGACGGCGGUGUUUGGCACCUCGAUGUCGGCUCAUCACAUCCUGGGGCUGAAGUAGGUCCCAAGGGUAUGGCUGUUCGCCAUUUAAAGUGGUACGCGAGCUGGGUUUAGAACGUCGUGAGACAGUUCGGUCCCUAUCUGCCGUGGGCGCUGGAGAACUGAGGGGGGCUGCUCCUAGUACGAGAGGACCGGAGUGGACGCAUCACUGGUGUUCGGGUUGUCAUGCCAAUGGCACUGCCCGGUAGCUAAAUGCGGAAGAGAUAAGUGCUGAAAGCAUCUAAGCACGAAACUUGCCCCGAGAUGAGUUCUCCCUGACUCCUUGAGAGUCCUGAAGGAACGUUGAAGACGACGACGUUGAUAGGCCGGGUGUGUAAGCGCAGCGAUGCGUUGAGCUAACCGGUACUAAUGAACCGUGAGGCUUAACCUUACAACGCCGAAGCUGUU